Molecule: ribosomal RNA, 119 nt
Filed under: Betta splendens (Siamese fighting fish)
Lineage: Eukaryota; Metazoa; Chordata; Actinopteri; Anabantiformes; Osphronemidae
Source: RNAcentral
GCUUACGGCCAUACCACCCUGAGCACGCCUGAUCUUGCCUGAUCUCGGAAGCUAAGCAGGGUCGGGCCUGGUUAGUACUUGGAUGGGAGACCGCCUGGGAAUACCAGGUGCUGUAAGCU